Molecule: ribosomal RNA, 255 nt
Filed under: Triticum aestivum (bread wheat)
Lineage: Eukaryota; Viridiplantae; Streptophyta; Magnoliopsida; Poales; Poaceae
Description: partial small subunit ribosomal RNA
Source: RNAcentral
AUGGCUUUGGUGAUCCCAUAUGUUUUCAGAAGCACAGUACACAAGCUAUGCCACUCGCACAUUAUGAAGAUGUACAGGGAACACCUCGUGUACGUGUACAACCUCCACGAAACCUUUAAGGAUGAAUUCACAACAAUCCUCAACUGGCCCCUCAUGCCAAUUGAGUUUGAGGCUGCCUGGAAAGCACUCAUGGAUAAGUACAACCUCCAUGACGAUGCCACGAUGGUGUUAAUGUGGAAUGAGAGGGGGAAAUGA